This 460-nucleotide ribosomal RNA is filed under the name uncultured Porphyromonas sp. RNAcentral's name for it is "bacterial SSU rRNA". It matches the Rfam family "Bacterial small subunit ribosomal RNA", at positions 338 to 795 of the family's 1533-position model. Lineage: Bacteria; Pseudomonadati; Bacteroidota; Bacteroidia; Bacteroidales; Porphyromonadaceae. The record is from RNAcentral.
CCUACGGGGGGCAGCAGUGAGGAAUAUUGGUCAAUGGGCGAGAGCCUGAACCAGCCAAGUCGCGUGAAGGAUGACUGUCUUAUGGAUUGUAAACUUCUUUUGUAGGGGAAUAAAGAAUGGUACGUGUACCAUAGUGAAUGUACCCUACGAAUAAGCAUCGGCUAACUCCGUGCCAGCAGCCGCGGUAAUACGGAGGAUGCGAGCGUUAUCCGGAUUUAUUGGGUUUAAAGGGUGCGUAGGCGGCCUGUUAAGUCAGCGGUGAAAUCUAGGGGCUUAACUCCUAAAUUGCCAUUGAUACUGGUGGGCUUGAGUGUAGAUGAGGUAGGCGGAAUGCGUGGUGUAGCGGUGGAAUGCAUAGAUAUCACGCAGAACUCCAAUUGCGAAGGCAGCUUACUAAGGUACAACUGACGCUGAAGCACGAAAGCGUGGGUAUCAAACAGGAUUAGAUACCCGAGUAGUC